GGUUUCAGACUCAAACUGGUAUUAAUUGCCAACCACUAUGAUACUUUUAGGGUAUUAGGGAUGUAUAUGUUGGAGGACAGGAGAAAAAUGGAGAUUACCUAGAGAUGAGAGAUAAAAGUCCUGCGUCAGGGAAUUUGGGGCUGAGAGGCAAAACUGAAUUCUUUUAUUAAACAUGUUCCAGAGAAACAAGAGUGAAAGCUUCAAAACAUG
This 210-nucleotide long non-coding RNA is filed under the name Homo sapiens (human). RNAcentral's name for it is "long non-coding RNA NONHSAT203101". Lineage: Eukaryota; Metazoa; Chordata; Mammalia; Primates; Hominidae. The record is from RNAcentral.